UAUGACCAUAUUGCGUUGAAACACCGCUUCCCGAAUGAUCACUGAAGUUAAGCAACGUCGAACCUGGUCAGUUCCUAGAUGAGUGACAGCUUGGUAUUACCAGGUGCUGUAAG
Acanthosepion pharaonis is the source of this 113-nucleotide non-coding RNA. The record is from the annotation of a GenBank genome assembly. Lineage: Eukaryota; Metazoa; Mollusca; Cephalopoda; Sepiida; Sepiidae.